RNAcentral lists this non-coding RNA (987 nucleotides) under Deroptyus accipitrinus (red-fan parrot). Its description in RNAcentral is "partial 12S ribosomal RNA". It matches the Rfam family "Bacterial small subunit ribosomal RNA". Lineage: Eukaryota; Metazoa; Chordata; Aves; Psittaciformes; Psittacidae. The record is from RNAcentral.
GGGCACUGAAGGUGCCAAGAUGGACACUACCCCCAAGGACAAAAGACUUAGUCCUAACCUUACUGUUAACUCUUGCUCAAUAUAUACAUGCAAGUAUCCGCACCCCAGUGCAAAUGCCCCAAACCCUUCACCAAGGUACAAGGAGCAGGCAUCAGGCACACACCCCUUGUAGCCCAAAACGCCUCGCUCUGCCACACCCCCACGGGUACUCAGCAGUAAUUAACAUUAAGCAAUAGGCGAAAGCCUGACCUAGUUAGAGCAACCAGGGUUGGUAAAUCAUGUGCCAGCCACCGCGGUCAUACAAGAAACCCAAGUUAACCGUACACGGCGUAAAGAGUGGACUCAAUCUGUCACACUAAGCUAGGACCAAAACCCUGCCUAAGCUGUCAUAAGCCCAGGGCACAUCAAAGCCCAACCUGAAAACGAUCUUAGCACUUACGACUCACCCUGCCCCACUAAAGCUAGGACACAAACUGGGAUUAGAUACCCCACUAUGCCCAGCCCUAAAUCUUGAUGCUUCCCAAACAUAAGCAUCCGCCCGAGAACUACGAGCACAAACGCUUAAAACUCUAAGGACUUGGCGGUGCUCUAACCCACCUAGAGGAGCCUGUUCUAUAAUCGAUAACCCACGAUUCACCCGACCACUUCUCGCCAAAACAGCCUAUAUACCGCCGUCGUCAGCCCACCUCCAUGAGAGCAUAACAGUGAGCUCAACAACCCACAAUCUCGCUAACAAGACAGGUCAAGGUAUAGCCCAUGAAGUGGAAGAAAUGGGCUACAUUUUCUAAAAUAGAAAAUCUUUUUAAACGGAAGGGGGCUUGAAAUCCGCCCCCAGAAGGUGGAUUUAGCAGUAAAGCAGAACAAUCUAGCCUUCUUUAAACUGGUUCUAGAGCACGUACACACCGCCCGUCACCCUCCUCACAAGCCCCAAACACAUUAACUAAUACAACAAAUUAGCCCAAGAUGAGGUAAGUCGUAACAAGGGUA